UGCGCAGCCCAGCUAUUUUAGCAUUUCUCUG
RNAcentral lists this non-coding RNA (31 nucleotides) under Mus musculus (house mouse). The record is from RNAcentral. Lineage: Eukaryota; Metazoa; Chordata; Mammalia; Rodentia; Muridae.